GGGGAAGAUGGACAGGGACUCUGUUGUCAUAGCUUCAGGGGGAAGAUGGACAGGGACUCUGUUGUCAUAGCUUCAGGGGGAGAUGGACAGGGACUCUGUUGUCAUAGCAUCAGGGGGAGAUGGACAGGGACUCUGUUGUCAUAGCUUCAGGGGGAGAUGGACAGGGACUCUGUUGUCAUAGCUUCAGGGGGAAGAUGGACAGGGACUCUGUUGUCAUAGCUUCAGGGGGGGGAGAUGGACAGGGACUCUGUUGUCCUAGCUUCAGGGG
Molecule: long non-coding RNA, 268 nt
Organism: Oncorhynchus tshawytscha (Chinook salmon)
Lineage: Eukaryota; Metazoa; Chordata; Actinopteri; Salmoniformes; Salmonidae
Source: Ensembl